RNAcentral lists this ribosomal RNA (253 nucleotides) under uncultured bacterium. RNAcentral describes it as "partial 16S ribosomal RNA". It matches the Rfam family "Bacterial small subunit ribosomal RNA", at positions 524 to 776 of the family's 1533-position model. The record is from RNAcentral.
UACGUAGGGUGCAAGCGUUGUCCGGAAUUAUUGGGCGUAAAGGGCGCGUAGGCGGCCAUGCGUGUCUUCCGUGAAAUCCCUCGGCUUAACUGAGGACGUGCGGAAGAAACUGCAAGGCUCGAGUCCGGGAGAGGGGGGUGGAAUUCCCAGUGUAGCGGUGAAAUGCGUAGAUAUCUGGAGGAACACCGGUGGCGAAGGCGGUUCUCUGGGCCGGAACUGACGCUGAGGAGCGAAAGCGUGGGGAGCAAACAGG